RNAcentral lists this ribosomal RNA (253 nucleotides) under uncultured bacterium. RNAcentral describes it as "partial 16S ribosomal RNA". It matches the Rfam family "Bacterial small subunit ribosomal RNA", at positions 524 to 776 of the family's 1533-position model. The record is from RNAcentral.
UACGUAGGGUGCAAGCGUUGUCCGGAUUUAUUGGGCGUAAAGAGCUCGUAGGCGGUUAGUCACGUCGGAUGUGAAAACUCAGAGCUUAACUCUGAGCCUGCAUACGAUACGGGCUGACUAGAGUGUUGUAGGGGAGACUGGAACUCCUGGUGUAGCGGUGAAAUGCGCAGAUAUCAGGAAGAACACCGGUGGCGAAGGCGGGUCUCUGGGCAACUACUGACGCUGAGGAGCGAAAGCGUGGGGAGCAAACAGG